This is a non-coding RNA of Diceros bicornis minor, 2566 nucleotides long. The record is from the annotation of a RefSeq genome assembly. NCBI's taxonomy places the organism in Eukaryota, Metazoa, Chordata, Mammalia, Perissodactyla, Rhinocerotidae.
AUGGCAGGCUGCCCACAGGCCACAGCACUAACCCAGAGCCAGCACCAGGGAGCCACGGGCGGGGGCCCAAGCCAACAGAGAUGGAUGCACCAGAGAGCGAAGGAGAUCAACAUUGAGGAACGUGAUGGGCUGAGAGGCCAGAAGCCUGAGGGACCUGGUGGUCACACAGCCUCCUCUCUUGCAGCCUCCACCACAGCCCCAAAGGUCUUCCCACUGGCCCCCUGCUGUAGGGACACAUCUGAAUCCACGGUGGCCCUGGGCUGCCUGGUCUCCAGCUACAUCCCAGAGCCGGUGACCGUGUCCUGGAACUCAGGCGCCCUGACCAGCGGCGUGCACACCUUCCUGUCCGUCCUGCAGUCUUCGGGGCUCUACUCCCUCAGCAGCGUGGUGACCGUGUCUGCCAGCAGCUUGGAGAGCCAAACCUACACCUGCAACGUAGCCCACCCGGCCAGCAGCACCAAGGUGGACAAGAGAAUCGUCGUAAAAGACCUGAAGCCCUGCUGCAAUUGUUUACCAUGCCAAGCAGUGCCGAGGGUCUUCAUCAUCCCCCCAAAACCCAAGGACGUCCUCAUGAUCUCCCACACGCCCGAGGUCACCUGCCUGGUGGUGGACGUGAGCCGAGAAAACCCCAAUGUCCAGUUCAACUGGUACGUGGACGGCACGGAGGUGAGCACGGCCACAACGAAGCCAAACGAGAAUCAGCCAAAUGGCACCCAGCGGGUGGUCAGCAUCCUCCCCAUCCAGCACAAGGACUGGCUGAGUGGAAAGAAGUUCCAGUGUAAGGUCAGCAACAAUGCCCUCCCGGCCUCCAUUGAGAAAAUCAUCUUCAAGGACGAAGGGCCAGCCCGGGAGCCGCAGGUGUACGUGUUGAACCCACACCAGGAGGAGCUGGCCAAGAGCACGGUCAGCGUCACCUGCCUGGUCAAAGACUUCUACCCAUCUGAGGUCAAUGUCGAGUGGCAGAGCAACGGGGAGUCAGAGCCGGAGGGCAAGUACAGAACCACCCCACCCCAGCUGGACAGUGACGGAUCCUACUUCCUGUACAGCAAGCUCUCGGUGGAGACGAGCAGGUGGAAGCAGGGAGUCAAGUUCACAUGUGCGGUGAUGCACGAGGCUCUCCACAAUCACUACACGGAGAAAUUCACCUCCCAGUCUCCGGAGAUGGUCCUGGACGAGAGCUGUGUCGAGACUCAGGACGGGGAGCUGGACGGGCUGUGGACCACCAUCUCCAUCUUCAUCACGCUCUUCCUGCUCAGCGUGUGCUACAGCGCCACCGUCACCCUCUUCAAGGUGAAGUGGAUCUUCUCCUCGGUGGUGGAGCUGAAGGAGACGAUGGUCCCCGACUACAGGAAUACCAUCGGGCAGGGGGCCUAGGGCCACUCCUCCGGUGUGAGCGUCCCGGGCUGGUCCAGACCCCAGACAAGAUCUGGGUCCUUCAGUUCAUUACGCUCAGCCUGCCACCCAGACCUGCUCUAUUGCCUCUCGACCUCGCCACACGCUGAUCUCACUGCCCCAUUUGGCCCGCAGCGUGCUUUCUGGCGUCAUGGUCACUGCACGCUGCCUCCUACCCCCGACUCCUGUUUGGAAAACCAAGUGGACGGCAGCUAUAAGCCUGAGUUGAGCUGAUGGACGCCAAUUGGCCCCUCCCCAGCAGCCACCAAGAAACACUUGGGCCUGAGGAAUCAGGGCCGAACAUCGCUCACCAGCACCUCCCUGGGGUCCGCGUAUGUGGUCCCCCUGGAGGAGGUGGAGCACCAAUGUGCCACGUCCGUCUGGACAGGGACGGGUCUUCAUGCAAACUGCAUCCACGCCGGGGUCAAGGACGCAGGCUUCCAGGAAGGAGACACGCGGUUUCAGAUCCUUGAGUGGGAACAUCUGCUGCCAAGGCCAGGAAGACACGAGGCCAUCAUAUACCAACAAGGAAGAGUCUGGACAUGCCCCUAACCGUCACUCGGGUUCUCUCCACCCAGGGAGACCACUCAGAGGAGGGCCUGGGCUGUGGCCACUGUGGGAUCCCCGGUGGAUGUGGGCGGCACCACCUGGGAGGGGUGGACAUCCGGCCAGGCGGGCCUCCUGGAGAGGGGCCUGCUGACCAGGUCCCCAAGUGGAUGGGAUGUGGCCUUGGUGGACAGAGGUGGAGGGACGGCAGGAGAUCAGGGCAGCAGGCACAGCCACCCAAUCCUGCAGCCGGCGGGGCCUGAGUCACGGUCCACAGGAAGUACAGUUGCUCCAUGGGGCAGAGGUGAGAGAAGAGACCCCCGAGGAGAGAGCCCAUGGCCUUGGGGAGCUGACCAAGUGGACCAAUUUCAGACCCCUGGCCUCACAACCCCUGGACCAAAUCACCCCUCAGGUGCUGAAGGAACUCCUAGUCGCCCUCUCCAGAUGCGAAGGACAGGGAUGCACACGGGAAGGACAGGCAGACCCCUGUCCCAACUACUGGGGGACAAAUCGCAGAAAGGUUGCUCAAAGAAAAGGCCAUAGUUGUAGCUUGCGUAGCUUUCUUCCUUCUUUUUAACUUUCUAGAGCCCACUGAUUUUCUUUACCAUUUCUUUUCUUAAAACAACAA